UCCAGGGUAGCCUAGUGGACAUGGCAUCUGCCCGGUAAGCAGAACACUGUGGUCUCGAUUCCCAUCUCUGGAC
Molecule: transfer RNA, 73 nt
Filed under: Cordylochernes scorpioides
Lineage: Eukaryota; Metazoa; Arthropoda; Arachnida; Pseudoscorpiones; Chernetidae
Description: tRNA-Thr
Source: RNAcentral